Molecule: ribosomal RNA, 237 nt
Filed under: uncultured bacterium
Lineage: Bacteria
Description: partial 16S ribosomal RNA
Rfam family: Bacterial small subunit ribosomal RNA
Source: RNAcentral
GAUGAACGCUGGCGAGAUGCUUUACACAUGCAAGUCGUACGAGAGUUUUUAAUUCAAGUGGCGGACGGGUGAGUAACACGUAAGAAUUUGCCUUUGGGAGGGGGACAACAAUUGGAAACGAUUGCUAAUACCCCAUAUGCUUUCGAGUGAAAUGGAUUUUUCCGCCUAAAGAGAAGCUUGCGGCUGAUUAGCUUGUUGGUAAGGUAAUGGCUUACCCAAGGCGACGAUCAGUAUUCG